GGACUACUAGGGUAUCUAAUCCCGUUCGCUCCCCCAGCUUUCGCGCCUCAGCGUCAAGAAAACCCCAGGAGACCGCCUUCGCCACUGGUGUUCCUACCGAUCUCUACGCAUUUCACCGCUACACCGGUAAUUCCAUCUCCCCCUAGCCUCUUCAAGAGGAAUAGUAUCCACCGACCCUCCGGAGUUGAGCUCCGGGCUUUCACAGCGGACUUACUCCCCCGCCUACGCGCGCUUUACGCCCAGUAACUUCGGACAACGCUCGCCCCCUACGUAUUACCGCGGCGGCUGGCAC
RNAcentral lists this ribosomal RNA (292 nucleotides) under uncultured bacterium. RNAcentral describes it as "partial 16S ribosomal RNA". The record is from RNAcentral.